GCUUUUCGGGGAUAGUUAAGCCCAGGCCUUAAGACAGUUUGAUGUUCAGUUUUGUUAUUUAGGUCUGGGUUAGGGAUACCGCCAGAGAGCAUCCAAACAUUCCUGUGAUUGGGAAGGCUAGUUGUCUGUGAGCAUUCCAGAUGAAAUAGCCUAUAAUGGGUUAUCACCUUUUGAUCUUACCUCAGAGAAGAUUGAAUUGGAUCUACCUAUCUGAUUUAGCAGAAUUAAACUGGAUUUGGAUGGGAGGAUAAUCAGCUAUUUAAUUUGCCAGUUGUUAGUUAGCAUUUCUUAUUGCUGUAUCUCAAGGAUUUACUUUGAAUAUUCUGUAUUUUCUCUUUCCUGCCCAUGAUGGGUUUUCCUUUUAAAAUGCUCAGCACAGGCUGGGUGUGGUGGCUCAUUGAUCUGCCAGCCUCAGCCUCCCAAAGUGCUAGGAUUACAGGCGUGAGCCACUGCACUCAGCUAGAAGAAUUCUGAUAGGCUCUCAGCAUCCAUUGUUCUAGGUAUAACAAUUCUGACUUUUUCAAAUACUCUGAUGCUUUUAUGGUAUCCUGCUUGCUGCUGUCUUCUUCUUUUGAAAUUGGAGUUCAAUCACUCUGCUCUUCUUUCUUAAUACUUGUCUGUUUCCUAGAUUUUACAGGCUUUUCCAUGAACACUCUAAUUUCCUGUAUGAAGAGGGAAUAUACAAAUGAUAGGAUGCUUUCCUGCAACUGAGAUGGCAGGGGGAAGGAGAGGACAGCAACUCAUACGGAAGGAAAUCAGCUUUUGUUGAGCACCCAGAAUUUACCAGAUCAGAUAGAGAGGACAGGUGUAGAAGAAAAUGAGCAUGUAUAAAGAGGAAUAGUGGGACAAUAAAGUACAAAUAUGGAAAAUUAAGUGGAAGGCUUUUAAUGCUGUUAGGGAACUUGGAUUGGGUUAGUAAGUUAUGAGACUGACAUUUUUGAUCCUUGAAAUGUCAUAAUCAGAGGUGAAUGAUAGGUUAUAUAAUCUAAUAGUUUAGAGAAUUAAUUAAAUUGGGAAAUAAGUCAUAGGACCAAUAAAGAAGUGUUUUGAGAGUUUCUCUUAAGGAAUGAAGACCUAACGAGAAUAGCGGCAACGCAGUAGAAGUGUUGCUAAAGUACAUUGGACAGAUAUAAGCAAUUGGAUAUUGGGAAAGAAAGGGAUGAAUAAAAGGUGACAUAAGAUGUUAAGCCUGGGUGAUGGAGAGAAUGUGAUCUCAGCAGGUUUGUGGGUGGAGGUAAAAAUAAGUUUUGUUCUAGAUCUCUUGCUUUUGAGGUGCUGGUAGGAUAUUCCUGUGGAGAUGUGUAGUAGAAUCCGAAGUGUGAAACUGGAACUUGGAGGGAGAGAUCAAGGCUGGAAAUAAAACAUGUAUGAGUAAGGAGAGUUAAAAAUAAAGAGAAGAAGAGAGCAUUUGUUAGCUGGAGUAAAAGGAAGGGUACAGGAAAAGCAUCAUAGAGAAGAGAGAAUUUGAUCUGACUUUAAAAGAUGCCGAGUUGGUAUAUGGCAUUCUGUUCAUGAGCUUUCCUUGUUGAGGGGACAUCACAUUUACUAACUUGAGAGAUAAUACAUGGGAAAUGUUGGACAAAGGACACUGCAUCCAGAAUGACCUUUCUAAACUACAAAAUCAUUUCCCCUCUUUCCUGCUUAACUCUCCCUCAGUGGCUUCUUAUCUUUCUUCAGAUAAAGGACUAACUCCUAAAUGUCUUCAUCAUCACCAAUUUGAACACACAUUGUGUCUCACACUCCUCCUUGUUCCUCCCUCUUCUUCCCCAAGACUGGACAAUGUGAAGAAGAUAACAUUUCCACCAGAUGGAGUACUCUUUAUACUUUUUUGGGGUCCUUUAUGGUCACUUUUUGUGGCCAUGGUCAGGUUCUUAUCCAUAAAAUAAUUAUUGAUAACUUCCAAAUCUAAAAUGAAAAGUAAUGAUAAAUCACAUACUUCCCUCAUUUUUACAAAAUUCCUUGCUUGCCUUAUCUCUUCAAGUGUUGACUGCAAGGUUCCUGUACACUUACUUGAGUUGGCCACUCUGGUCACUAUACCCUGAUCUCUGACACUUGGCUGUAGUAGCCUGGAGCAGCAUUGUUACUGGGCAUUGCUGUGAUUGGGUUACCCAGCUGUGCUGAUGUGGAAGCCUCAGGGCUAUUUAUUGAUACUUGGUUUCCUAAAGGAAAGUUGAGGGAAUUUAUUUUAUGAGAGGGCUUUAUUUACACAGAUUAAAGAGGUUUAUAAAAUGUGGAGAUGAAUAUAGGUGAAACAGAGAAAGAAUGCUGGUAUAGGAGGUGUUUUCGGCUGGGUUUGGUGGCUUAUGCCCGUAAUCCCAGCACUUUGGGAGGCUGAGGCGGGUGGAUCACUUGAGUCUAGCCCGGGCGGCAUAGUGAGACCCAUCUCUACAAAAACUACAAAAAUUAGCUGGACAUUGUGUUGCAUGCCUGUAGUCCCGGCUACUCAGGAGGCUGAGGUGAGAGGAUUGCUUGAGCCCAGGAAGCAGAGGUUGCAGUGAGCCAAGAUCAUGCCACUGCACUCCAGCCUGGGCAACAGAGUGAGACCCUGUCUCAGAAAACAAACAAAAAUUCCCAAAAAACCAGGAAGUGUUUUCUCAGGGUCUAGUUCCCAGGCGAAUGGUAUAUCCUGAUUCUAGGUUUACAAAAAUAGUAUAUUAUUCAUAACAUUUGUCUAAAGUGACACAUUUACAUACAGUAUAUAGUAUUGAGUAAUUUCCAACUCUUUAAAAAUAAUGGAGACCCUUCCAUGUAGUAGUAAUUAUGUUUUUAGUAUCUGUUGACUGAGAAAAUACGUAACAGCAAAAGCUACUAUAAAACUUUGAAAUAAGUUCUUGUAAAUAUAAAAACAUUCUCAUAUAUUUGGAAAGUAUACAUGUGGAAAUUAUGACUUAUAGAGUCUAUGGACACUUGAUUUCUUGCUUUAUGGAUACUCUCAGGAAGUUCUGGUCUCAACUUCGAGUAGCUCAUUGUUCUCUUACUUUAGAAUGUGGGGUAUGGGGGAAAACUUCUAUUUGAAAAUUUGAGCCAUAGCGGAAAUUUUGGAAUGACAGGGAAACCCCUUUUCAGAAUCCUCUUACAAUAAAAUUUAUGUAUGUUAUGCCAGACAAUGUACUUUAUACUAAGACUGGACUUUUAAAUAGUCUCAGGGAUUAAGAAGUCAGAUACAAUAAAUAAAUACUUUUUAAAAAUUAUAUUUUUAGGUAUAUGAGCAUUGUUGUUAGGACUACAGUGCUAUUUUAAAGUGAAAUUUAGUUGAUUUGCAUGUGAGUAUACACCUACAGGUCUCCGUUAUAGCCGUGACAUGUCUUCUGUUACUAUAAAUUACAUAACAAAUCCUUAUGGUUUCUUGGGUCACUUAUUUUAUUUAAAGACAAAAACAUCUUUCAGUACAUAUGUAAGACUUAGGGCAUUAUUGAAAAUAAGCCUGUGCCACAUGGUAGAAUCUAUUAAAAAAAAAAA
This 3459-nucleotide small RNA is filed under the name Pongo abelii (Sumatran orangutan). Its description in RNAcentral is "sense intronic". The record is from RNAcentral. Lineage: Eukaryota; Metazoa; Chordata; Mammalia; Primates; Hominidae.